Molecule: transfer RNA, 78 nt
Filed under: Stieleria varia
Lineage: Bacteria; Pseudomonadati; Planctomycetota; Planctomycetia; Pirellulales; Pirellulaceae
Description: Planctomycetes bacterium Pla52n tRNA-His
Rfam family: tRNA
About the family: Transfer RNA (tRNA) molecules are approximately 80 nucleotides in length.
Source: RNAcentral
GUGGCCAGAUCUGGUGCCGGUUUCCAGAGACUCACUGUGAAUGAGUUUGUCACCGGUUCAAUUCCGGUUGGUCACCCC